Molecule: ribosomal RNA, 591 nt
Filed under: Triticum aestivum (bread wheat)
Lineage: Eukaryota; Viridiplantae; Streptophyta; Magnoliopsida; Poales; Poaceae
Description: partial small subunit ribosomal RNA
Source: RNAcentral
AUGUUCGAACUGUCUAGCACCUCUAAUUCCCAGCCCACAUAUGAACUGUCUCGUCCGCAUCGUCGCCACUGGAACCCCGCCGCCAUCCCCAACCCAUUGCACUGCCAUCAGAGGCCCCAAUCCACGACACCGUCAUUUGUGCCACCACCAAACGCCGCCCUGUACAUCCAGCUCCUCUGGACAUACACCUCGCCCUCUGUAUGUUUGAUGAAAUGUCUAAGCAAUUUUUUAAUUCUUUUGCUCGGUGGUAGGCAAAUGAUGAAUUCGCCGGAUGAUGACUAUGGGAACAAGGACCUCGAAGAAUUCAUAUACAGAGAGUUAGUUGAUUCGUCGGAUUUGAAUGAUGAAGAUACUGAAAUGAUGACAAUGUGCAUCCAAGAAGAAAUGGAGAAGCAAGAGGAGCAUGUUCUAAACUUCAAGGGUUCAAUAAACGAUGGGAGAGUUGUUCCCCGGGAUAGGAUCGCUGGCGCACGACUUCUCUACAAGGACUACUUCACAGUGGACCUAACGUACCAUGAUGUUUUUUUGACUUCGCUACCGCAUGAGCGGAAAGUUGUUCUCGCGCUUAGUGAAUGUCCUAGAGGAGACUAA